RNAcentral lists this ribosomal RNA (434 nucleotides) under uncultured Clostridium sp. RNAcentral's name for it is "partial 16S ribosomal RNA". It matches the Rfam family "Bacterial small subunit ribosomal RNA", at positions 341 to 792 of the family's 1533-position model. The record is from RNAcentral. Lineage: Bacteria; Bacillati; Bacillota; Clostridia; Eubacteriales; Clostridiaceae. RNAcentral also lists the same sequence under 1 other name.
ACGGGAGGCAGCAGUGGGGAAUAUUGCACAAUGGGGGAAACCCUGAUGCAGCAACGCCGCGUGAGUGAUGACGGUCUUCGGAUUGUAAAGCUCUGUCUUUGGGGACGAUAAUGACGGUACCCAAGGAGGAAGCCACGGCUAACUACGUGCCAGCAGCCGCGGUAAUACGUAGGUGGCGAGCGUUGUCCGGAUUUACUGGGCGUAAAGGGAGCGUAGGCGGAUUCUUAAGUGGGAUGUGAAAUACCCGGGCUUAACCUGGGUGCUGCAUUCCAAACUGGGAAUCUAGAGUGCAGGAGGGGAGAGUGGAAUUCCUAGUGUAGCGGUGAAAUGCGUAGAGAUUAGGAAGAACACCAGUGGCGAAGGCGACUCUCUGGACUGUAACUGACGCUGAGGCUCGAAAGCGUGGGGAGCAAACAGGAUUAGAUACCCUGGUA